UUCUCGGGGGGGAACGCGAAGAACCUUACCUACUCUUGACAUCCAGAGAACUUUCCAGAGAUGGAUUGGUGCCUUCGGGAACUCUGAGACAGGUGCUGCAUGGCUGUCGUCAGCUCGUGUUGUGAAAUGUUGGGUUAAGUCCCGCAACGAGCGCAACCCUUAUCCUUUGUUGCCAGCGGUUCGGCCGGGAACUCAAAGGAGACUGCCAGUGAUAAACUGGAGGAAGGUGGGGAUGACGUCAAGUCAUCAUGGCCCUUACGAGUAGGGCUACACACGUGCUACAAUGGCGUAUACAAAGAGAAGCGACCUCGCGAGAGCAAGCGGACCUCAUAAAGUACGUCGUAGUCCGGAUUGGAGUCUGCAACUCGACUCCAUGAAGUCGGAAUCGCUAGUAAUCGUAGAUCAGAUGCAUUUGUUUC
Molecule: ribosomal RNA, 419 nt
Filed under: uncultured bacterium
Lineage: Bacteria
Description: bacterial SSU rRNA
Rfam family: Bacterial small subunit ribosomal RNA
Source: RNAcentral